UCCCUGGUGGCUCAGAUGGUAAAAGCGUCUGUUUACAAUGCAGGUGACCCGGGUUCGAUCCCUGGGUUGGGAA
Molecule: transfer RNA, 73 nt
Filed under: Ovis aries (sheep)
Lineage: Eukaryota; Metazoa; Chordata; Mammalia; Artiodactyla; Bovidae
Rfam family: tRNA
About the family: Transfer RNA (tRNA) molecules are approximately 80 nucleotides in length. Their secondary structure includes four short double-helical elements and three loops (D, anti-codon, and T loops).
Source: Rfam by way of RNAcentral